UUCACUAUAUUUAAAAUUUAAAAAUGAUGUUUUUAUGAUAAUUGGAGUCAAAUGAGCAGCGACAAAGUUGCAAAGGCAGAGAAGUGAAAACCAACAACAAUGACUGGUGAAGAAGCAAUAAGCAAAAACAAUAAAAGGAAGAGAAGCAACAAUGACGACAGUGGCGAAAAAACAAGUGAAAAGCAGCAAAAGAAGGAGAAGCAAGAAACAAG
This 212-nucleotide long non-coding RNA is filed under the name Gossypium barbadense (sea-island cotton). Its description in RNAcentral is "long non-coding RNA (GBAR_LNC011101)". The record is from RNAcentral. Lineage: Eukaryota; Viridiplantae; Streptophyta; Magnoliopsida; Malvales; Malvaceae.